Molecule: long non-coding RNA, 260 nt
Organism: Vitis vinifera (wine grape)
Lineage: Eukaryota; Viridiplantae; Streptophyta; Magnoliopsida; Vitales; Vitaceae
Exons: 3
Source: RefSeq, a predicted model, not a curated record
UAGAAAGAAACCUACUGAAAGGGAUCACUACUGAUGAAAAUACUGCUGCACAUGAUUUUGCCACUCUUGGUGUUGUUAAUGUCAGAUACUGUGGGUAUAUAGUUGUGGUUAAACUUGAAGGGAAAGAAAGUAGCAAAAUGGAUACUCAUUUUCAAAGCAUUGAACUUCUUGAUCAGCCUGAAGGUGGUGCCAAUGCCCUUAAUAUUAACAGUUGAGGAAAUCUUACCAUUGGGUGGAUUAUUGGAUUGCGUUGACAAUUG